UAUCAUUGUCUGGGUUUGAUGUGAUGCUUCAAGAAAAAAAAUUUAGAAUUGUAAAAGCAUUGUCGUUUGCUUGUAUUGAUCGGUCUAAGCCAACAUCUUAUUAUGGUUAAUUGGACAUGCAGCAGGGUCUCCAAGCUACAAUUUCCCUUAGUAAUCAGUUUGAUUUAGAAGUCCUGUCUUAAUUCUGUUAUACAUUAAGAUGUCUAACAAAGAACACAGGAUAAAAUAGGAGAGAAUUCUAUCGUGAGUGAUGGAUUAGUGAUUUUUUCGACAUUUGAGGUCAGACUGAAAGCCAAAAUAGCAUUUGGAGAGGGAAAAGAUAAAAACAUCAAAGAAGCGAAUUAGUUUAAGGAUUUUUUAUUGUCAUGCUUCUAGUGUCUUGAAUUAGAUUAGUUGAACUGGAUUCGAUAAAUUCGGAUGUGUAUUGCGUUAUACUUAAG
Molecule: long non-coding RNA, 440 nt
Filed under: Mytilus galloprovincialis (Mediterranean mussel)
Lineage: Eukaryota; Metazoa; Mollusca; Bivalvia; Mytilida; Mytilidae
Source: RNAcentral